CACGCCCUAAACGAUGUCAACUAGGUGUUGGGGGAGGAGACUUCCUUAGUACCGCAGCUAACGCGUGAAGUUGACCGCCUGGGGAGUACGGUCGCAAGAUUAAAACUCAAAGGAAUUGACGGGGACCCGCACAAGCGGUGGAUUAUGUGGAUUAAUUCGAUGCAACGCGAAAAACCUUACCUACCCUUGACAUGCCAGGAACUUGCCAGAGAUGGCUUGGUGCCCGAAAGGGAACCUGGACACAGGUGC
RNAcentral lists this ribosomal RNA (249 nucleotides) under uncultured bacterium. Its description in RNAcentral is "partial 16S ribosomal RNA". It matches the Rfam family "Bacterial small subunit ribosomal RNA", at positions 796 to 1041 of the family's 1533-position model. The record is from RNAcentral.